GUAGGGAAUCUUGCACAAUGCGCGAAAGCGUGAUGCAGCAAUGCCGCGUGUGGGAAGAAGGGCUUCGGCUCGUAAACCACUUUCAGUUGGGACGAAGCUGUUGCCGUUAAUAGCGGUAUGCAGUGACGGUACCUUCACAAGAAGCCCCGGCUAACUACGUGCCAGCAGCCGCGGUAAUACGUAGGGGGCAAGCGUUGUCCGGAAUCAUUGGGCGUAAAGAGCGUGUAGGCGGUUCAGUAAGUCUGCUGUGAAAGUCCAGGGCUCAACCCUGGGAUGCCGGUGGAUACUGUUGAACUCGAGUCCGGAAGAGGCGAGUGGAACUCCUGGUGUAGCGGUGAAAUGCGCAGAUAUCAGGAAGAACACCAAUGGCGAAGGCAGCUCGCUGGGACGUGACUGACGCUGAGACGCGAAAGCGUGGGGAGCAAACAGG
RNAcentral lists this ribosomal RNA (430 nucleotides) under uncultured Patulibacter sp. RNAcentral's name for it is "bacterial SSU rRNA". It matches the Rfam family "Bacterial small subunit ribosomal RNA", at positions 354 to 776 of the family's 1533-position model. The record is from RNAcentral. Lineage: Bacteria; Bacillati; Actinomycetota; Thermoleophilia; Solirubrobacterales; Patulibacteraceae.